AGGCCGCGAGUCGCCCGGCCAGCUCAGGGCCCCGCCCUCAGCCCCAGCUCACACCCCGGGGCUUCUGUUGCCUCCCAGGCCUCGGUCCGGGCGGGUCCUUCCUCCUCCGCCUGGAAGCCUGUCCGAAGUACUCAACCCAGGCCCUAGAUGGAACGCCUCCAUUCCCACUCCACACCCGGCAACCGGCUGCUCAACUGAGGCGCCUGGCUUUCUCCCUCCAGGAGGGAGCCAGGGAAGAACCUUAAGGAGGGGAGUCGUUUUCAGAUUUGCAUGUUAGAAAGAUCACUCUGGCUCCUGCGAUAAGCGGAGACAGCAGGGAGCUGAAAACUGGAGAUGAGGACUGAAGUCCCGAGGCUAUUGCAACGGUCCAGGUGAGACUUGAAGCCGGAACUGAAGGAAUGACGCCAAGGAUAGGAGUGGAUUGAGACACCUGGGAGGUGACUGGACUGGCGUGACCGCAUUGGCGGGUGAGGGGAUGGUGUCAGGGAUGACUCUCGGCUUGCCGGCUUGGACAGUGAAACUGGGAGAGUCAGGCUAGGUUUGGAGUGAAGGGGGUUCACUCACUCCGUUUUGGAUUUGCCUGAACUUAAGACGUCUGCAGGACAUGGCCCAGCAGAGGCGGAGGCUGGAGCCACAGACCUUGGAGUCUUGAGAACGCAGUGGAAACUGACACCAUCAGGGACAGGUCUCAGUAAUUAAUGGUCUUAAGGAAACAAAAGAAUGCAGGAACAAAUGACUGUUACCAGGCAAGAGAAGUAACAAUGGCAAAGAUAAUAACUGUUGGUAAAGAUUAGCCUGGAUUAUGCUCUUGAGGUGAUUUGCAGAAUUCAAGCCCCUCACCCUCACCCUGCCCCACUCCAGCAGUCAGUCACAAGAUCAGCUGGACUUAAGGAAUGAUGGUUUUGACCUUUCUUGAGCCUCGUGACUCCAAUCAACUAAAACUUGGACUCUGUCAACCUUUGCCCCAACUCUAGACUGAAUUCUUGUCUGCUCCACCCCCACAUGAAUAUGUAUGUACCCUUGGCUUAAAAAUUCCUCAAUUUUGCUUUUCCAGGAGACACUGCUUUAGGAAAUAUCCCCAGUGUUUUCUUACUUGCUGUAAUAAAUCCUUCCUUCUCCUGCUCUUUGA
Long non-coding RNA from Camelus dromedarius (Arabian camel), 1129 nucleotides. RefSeq lists it as uncharacterized. The record is from RefSeq and is a predicted model, not a curated record. NCBI's taxonomy places the organism in Eukaryota, Metazoa, Chordata, Mammalia, Artiodactyla, Camelidae. The transcript is spliced from 2 exons.